AAUCUCAUAGCUCAAUUGGUUAGAGCACCGGUCUUUUAAACCGGGGGUUGAAGGUUCAAUUCCUUCUGGGAUUACAA
Molecule: transfer RNA, 77 nt
Filed under: Chryseobacterium piperi
Lineage: Bacteria; Pseudomonadati; Bacteroidota; Flavobacteriia; Flavobacteriales; Weeksellaceae
Description: tRNA-Lys
Rfam family: tRNA
About the family: Transfer RNA (tRNA) molecules are approximately 80 nucleotides in length. Their secondary structure includes four short double-helical elements and three loops (D, anti-codon, and T loops).
Source: RNAcentral